GGGGGGGGGGGGGGGGGGGGGGAGGGCGGGCGGGUCGGGCGGUGACGGGGAGAAGCGUGCUUCGUUGCGGACGGGGGGGGGGCGGGUGGGUAGUGUCUGGGGAACUGCCUGGGGGGGGGGGCUAACUCCUGGAGACGGUAGCUACGACCUCAUAACGUCUCAUGACAAAAGAGGGGGACCUUCGGGCCUCUUGCACUCGCAGUUGCCCAGAUGGGAUUAGCUAUUAGGUGGGGUAACGGCUCACGGAGGCGACGCUCCCUAGCUGGUCUGAGAGGAUGACCAGCCACACUGGAACUGAGACACGGUCCAGACUCCUACGGGAGGCAGCAGUGGGGAAUAUUGCACAAUGGGCGCAAGCCUGAUGCAGCCAUGCCGCGUGUAUGAAGAAGGCCUUCGGGUUGUAAAGUACUUUCAGCGGGGAGGAAGGGAGUAAAGUUAAUACCUUUGCUCAUUGACGUUACCCGCAGAAGAAGCACCGGCUAACUCCGUG
This 490-nucleotide ribosomal RNA is filed under the name uncultured bacterium. RNAcentral's name for it is "partial 16S ribosomal RNA". It matches the Rfam family "Bacterial small subunit ribosomal RNA", at positions 37 to 507 of the family's 1533-position model. The record is from RNAcentral.